AAUGAACGCUGGCGGCGUGCUUAACACAUGCAAGUCGAGCGAGAAAGUGGCUUCGGCCAUGAGUACAGCGGCGAACGGGUGAGUAACACGUGGACAACCUGCCCGGAAGCGGGGGAUAACCUGGGGAAACUCGGGCUAAUACCGCAUAAGCUCCGUGGGCUUCGGCCCGAGGAGAAAAGUUGGCCUCUACAUGUAAGCUGACACUUUCGGAUGGGUCCGCGGCUGAUUAGCUUGUUGGUGGGGUAACGGCCUACCAAGGCGACGAUCAGUAGCCGGCCUGAGAGGGCGAUCGGCCACACUGGAACUGAGACACGGUCCAGACUCCUACGGGAGGCAGCAGUGGGGAAUAUUGGACAAUGGGGGAAACCCUGAUCCAGCAACGCCGCGUGGAGGACGAAGGCCUUCGGGUCGUAAACUCCUGUCAGGUGGGAAGAAAGGCCAUCGGUCAAUAACCGGUGGGCGUGACGGUACCACCAGAGGAAGCCCCGGCUAACUCCGUGCCAGCAGCCGCAGUAAAAC
This 519-nucleotide ribosomal RNA is filed under the name uncultured bacterium. RNAcentral describes it as "bacterial SSU rRNA". It matches the Rfam family "Bacterial small subunit ribosomal RNA", at positions 29 to 526 of the family's 1533-position model. The record is from RNAcentral.